GCAGUGGUGGUUCAGUGGUAGAAUUCUCACCUUCUAUUUGGGAUAACUGGGUUCAGUUCCUGGCCAACGCA
RNAcentral lists this transfer RNA (71 nucleotides) under Loxodonta africana (African savanna elephant). It matches the Rfam family "tRNA". Rfam says of the family: Transfer RNA (tRNA) molecules are approximately 80 nucleotides in length. Their secondary structure includes four short double-helical elements and three loops (D, anti-codon, and T loops). The record is from Rfam by way of RNAcentral. Lineage: Eukaryota; Metazoa; Chordata; Mammalia; Proboscidea; Elephantidae.